Molecule: long non-coding RNA, 2006 nt
Filed under: Anas platyrhynchos platyrhynchos (common mallard)
Lineage: Eukaryota; Metazoa; Chordata; Aves; Anseriformes; Anatidae
Description: lncRNA (ENSAPLG00000018603.1)
Source: RNAcentral
UAGAAAUCCAUGAAUUUUAGGCGGGUGGCGCAACAACUACUGACAGCACGUGCAUGUGCUAUGUAUAUAUAUUUCAGCAUACAGCAUGCUCAAGACACCCAAAUAUCAUGGAGGAAAAAAGAAAAACAACAAAACAUUGCUCGCACUUGUUUAAGAGUCUGUAUAUAGUCAUGCCGUCCAGCUGUGCCCCAUUGUCUGAAACUAGGUGUUUAGAAACAUCUCAGUCAAGACAUAAGAAAGUGACAAGAUGUGGUGAAAGCUAUAAAUCAUAAACUACAAAGCAGGCCCACAUCUUCCAACAAAAGCUGCUUUAUUCAGGCAAGGAAGUGCACUUAGGCAUAACUUUAAAUAGCAGGCAUCAGAAAAACACUCUCAAAUUCUAUAUAAUUUGACAUAAUUAAAUGUAGGUAUUUCAUCCGACUACAAUUUACUGCCUUGCCCCUUGUGCCUACAAUGUUGAUAUUCAUCAUAGAUUUGAGCCGUUUAUUUCAGUGAAAGCCAACCCACCCUUGCAGAGCACAGAUUGUAAUUAUCCUGUUCCCGAACGCCAGUCACGAUUCCCGCAGUUGCCCAUUUACUUGCAGUCGGAGCCAGCCCUGGGCAGAGAAACACCCACAGCACACCAGAUGCACAGGCGUGCAGGUAGACCCCUGAACAAGCUGAAACCCACCUAGUUCCCAAGUCUUCCUUCUGGACUCCUAUUUGCAAGACUGCUCACUUUUUCUCCUUGUUUCACUCCUUUUAUCCUCAGCCACAGCCCUAAUAUGUUCCUGGGAAGAGCUGCCAGCCACAAAAUACUGCAAACUGCCCCACAGUCAGUGUGUCUGGGACUAUUGGAGGGCGAGGUGCUGGCCACAGCCACCAAAGGCUGUGACCGAGGCAGUACCAGCUUGCUGGGAGCAUUGCUUGCACACGAGGAUGUUGGGAUCCUCACAGAGCUGCUGACAGCAAACAGCAGUCCUGCUCUUCCAGGGAACUGCAAACAAAAGGCUCUCAUUUGCAUAGGAAGGCCAGUGUCAAACACCAUAACAUCUGUGGUAUUCCUGUCCUUUUCUUAAGAGAACUGCAUUAAUGAAGAAAGGAGACUCACUGCCCAGGCAGAUGGAUGAAGAAGACAACAAGGAGCUCCAGGGAGCUGUUUCUUACCACACUCAGUCAUACUCUGUGGAGCACAUGGAGGACAGGGGAGAGGGGAUGGGGCCUCACAGAGCAUCAGAGGAACUGUGAUGUCUCUGCACCCUCAGAAAAUCUCCUGUGCCUCCAGAACAGAUGGCUACAAGCAAAAGUUUCGGUCCUGGGGAAAACAGCUUUGAACCUCUUCACUAUUUUAGGCUCCUGGUGAUUUGUAAGAUAGGUUUCCUUGGCCUGAAUUCAACAGCAAAAAUGAGGUAGGUCAUAAUCACAUCUGGGGGUGGGGGGAGUGUCCUGCAAAAGGCAACAGCAGCCACUUUGCCCUCCCUUUCCUUCCCAUGAUGCCCACAGACAUAUUUCACAAAAGACCUCAGUGGGCAAAGCCCCAAAAGGUAAGUAUGAAGUAAGUACUCAUCAUGGGACUGCUACAAGUAAAUCAGGAAGUGAGGCACAAGACAGGUUUGCAUCUUUUUGCCUCUCAAGCAGUCAAAGCAGCUGAGCCCGGCUGCAGGAGAGCUUCCAGCUCCAGACAAAACGUGGACUAAAAAGAUCUAGUCAGGCUUUAAGAUGAGACAGACAACAUCUUCUCAGUAGAGAUGGGAAGCAUUAGCACUGCUGUGCAAGGCUUUAUGUGCAUUUUUGUUUAGAAAAUUGCUUCCAGCUCUGAUCAGCUGUGAUUUCUUUUUUUUUUUUUUUUUCUAAAAAGAUAAACUGGAACAGAUGUGGUGAAAGGCUCUACGGGUGAUAAAGGGAAUGGGAACUCUAUCAUCCACACGGGGAAUGAGAGCAAGUGACUUGCUUAGCUUAACAAAAUGAAGGAAGAAGGACCUUCCUGGAAAAAUAAACGGUGUGAAAUAAUAGGGAGAAAUAAAAGA